UUUAUCUCUGCAGGAGACGCUACGUAAUGAGAGGAAUAAAUUAGCUAGACUUGAAACAAAACUCCAGAGACUUGAGAUAGAAAGAGUGGGUGUAACAAGUGGAUUACACGGCGGCUACAAAUUACGUUCUUCAAAAUCAGCCACGGCUACGACUACUAACGAAAAUUCACAGGACGACACACGUUUCAAGAUCGAAUUACUCGAAGAAAAGUGUCUAGCCCUGGAAGCAAGAUUGGCUACAGUACAGCGCGAUAAAACCUCAGAUCUCACACUCUAUACGCAGAUGUUGGAUCAAGCCAGAAAAACUUUUCAAGACGCGUACAGAGGGAAAACUCCCGCCUCCAAUAGCUGUUCAAUGAUUACGAUAUAAAAAUGGAUGGAAACAAUUUGAAACGUUUCGCAAAGUGUAAUCGUAAUUGCGCACUUCAAGGCAUAAAUCUGGAUGAUCUGCUUUAAAAAUAGAUGUGUAUAUGGCUAUUUAAUUUAAUGAAUAAAUUAACGAACAAAGAUGAGAGGAAAAAUGUAAUAAGAGUGUUCACGGAGCUUCUCCAUCUGUUACACGUGUAGAAAUUAUAAGCAGGAGUACUUGUACCUAAUAUACUUAUAUGCAU
This 611-nucleotide unclassified non-coding RNA is filed under the name Athalia rosae (coleseed sawfly). Its description in RNAcentral is "misc RNA ENSAEAG00005004629.1". The record is from RNAcentral. Lineage: Eukaryota; Metazoa; Arthropoda; Insecta; Hymenoptera; Athaliidae.